RNAcentral lists this ribosomal RNA (468 nucleotides) under uncultured bacterium. RNAcentral's name for it is "partial 16S ribosomal RNA". It matches the Rfam family "Bacterial small subunit ribosomal RNA", at positions 28 to 507 of the family's 1533-position model. The record is from RNAcentral.
GACGAACGCUGGCGGCGUGCUUAACACAUGCAAGUCGAACGGAAAGGCCCUGCUUUUGUGGGGUGCUCGAGUGGCGAACGGGUGAGUAACACGUGAGUAACCUGCCCUUGACUUUGGGAUAACUUCAGGAAACUGGGGCUAAUACCGGAUAGGAGCUCCUGCUGCAUGGUGGGGGUUGGAAAGUUUCGGCGGUUGGGGAUGGACUCGCGGCUUAUCAGCUUGUUGGUGGGGUAGUGGCUUACCAAGGCUUUGACGGGUAGCCGGCCUGAGAGGGUGACCGGCCACAUUGGGACUGAGAUACGGCCCAGACUCCUACGGGAGGCAGCAGUGGGGAAUAUUGCACAAUGGGCGGAAGCCUGAUGCAGCAACGCCGCGUGCGGGAUGACGACCUUCGGGUUGUAAACCGCUUUCGCCUGUGACGAAGUGUGAGUGACGGUAAUGGGUAAAGAAGCACCGGCUAACUACGUG